GACGAACGCUGGCGGCGUGCCUAAUGCAUGCAAGUUGAGCGCUGAAGGUUGGUACUUGUACCAACUGGAUGAGCAGCGAACGGGUGAGUAACGCGUGGGGAAUCUGCCUUUGAGCGGGGGACAACAUUUGGAAACGAAUGCUAAUACCGCAUAAAAACUUUAAACACAAGUUUUAAGUUUGAAAGAUGCAAUUGCAUCACUCAAAGAUGAUCCCGCGUUGUAUUAGCUAGUUGGUGAGGUAAAGGCUCACCAAGGCGAUGAUACAUAGCCGACCUGAGAGGGUGAUCGGCCACAUUGGGACUGAGACACGGCCCAAACUCCUACGGGAGGCAGCAGUAGGGAAUCUUCGGCAAUGGACGGAAGUCUGACCGAGCAACGCCGCGUGAGUGAAGAAGGUUUUCGGAUCGUAAAACUCUGUUGGUAGAGAAGAACGUUGGUGAGAGUGGAAAGCUCAUCAAGUGACGGUAACUACCCAGAAAGGGACGGCUAACUACGUG
RNAcentral lists this ribosomal RNA (497 nucleotides) under uncultured bacterium. RNAcentral describes it as "partial 16S ribosomal RNA". It matches the Rfam family "Bacterial small subunit ribosomal RNA", at positions 28 to 507 of the family's 1533-position model. The record is from RNAcentral.